Molecule: ribosomal RNA, 497 nt
Filed under: uncultured bacterium
Lineage: Bacteria
Description: partial 16S ribosomal RNA
Rfam family: Bacterial small subunit ribosomal RNA
Source: RNAcentral
GAUGAACGCUGGCGGCGUGCCUAAUACAUGCAAGUCGAGCGAACAGACGAGGAGCUUGCUCCUCUGACGUUAGCGGCGGACGGGUGAGUAACACGUGGAUAACCUACCUAUAAGACUGGGAUAACUUCGGGAAACCGGAGCUAAUACCGGAUAAUAUAUUGAACCGCAUGGUUCAAUAGUGAAAGACGGUUUUGCUGUCACUUAUAGAUGGAUCCGCGCCGCAUUAGCUAGUUGGUAAGAUAACGGCUUACCAAGGCAACGAUGCGUAGCCGACCUGAGAGGGUGAUCGGCCACACUGGAACUGAGGCACGGUCCAGACUCCUACGGGAGGCAGCAGUAGGGAAUCUUCCGCAAUGGGCGAAAGCCUGACGGAGCAACGCCGCGUGAGUGAUGAAGGUCUUCGGAUCGUAAAACUCUGUUAUUAGGGAAGAACAAAUGUGUAAGUAACUAUGCACGUCUUGACGGUACCUAAUCAGAAAGCCACGGCUAACUACGUG